Vespa velutina is the source of this 934-nucleotide long non-coding RNA. RefSeq lists it as uncharacterized. The transcript is spliced from 3 exons. NCBI's taxonomy places the organism in Eukaryota, Metazoa, Arthropoda, Insecta, Hymenoptera, Vespidae. The record is from RefSeq and is a predicted model, not a curated record.
ACUUUACGACGUAGCGUUAAAUUAUUUUCUAGGAAAAAUGUCGCGUGUAAUUCAUAUAAAUAUUUCAUGAGAAUUCGAAACGCGCUGUACGCUUCAUUCCGUUCCUGGCAUUUAUCAUUUAAUAAUUACGCACCUGUGUCAUACAUGUAUCCAAGAUGCCGUACAUAUCGUGCGAUAUUACGCAAUAAUAAUUUAAAAUGACAACUAUACGAAUAAGUAAGAUAAAAAUACCAAUACGAAAUCAUUUGACACGGGUAGAAUCGAUUUUAUACUUGAAUAUCUUUCCGAUUAUAUAUGAGAAUAUAUGAUGUUAUCGUCGCUUCUAGGCACUACAUAUCGAUACAGCGGAAAUAGAAUUCACGUUUUGUUCGAAAGGAAGUCCCUGACAAAAGAAAUAUAUAUGCGUCCAAGUUUUAAAUGAAAUCGAUAAUAGAAUGGAAUAUGUUUUGAUUCGAAUAUUUAUUUAAAGUACAAAUUCUUGUCUACGAUCUUUAACGUUUAUUAUGUGAUUUUUUGAAAAAUAUUUGACAAAAUACAACCUAGAAGAAAAGAGGAGAAAUAAAAAUGAACGAACACAUUAAUUCCAUUCCAGAGAAGCCAUUUCUCUUUUGGGAAAAACGUUCAUCUUAUUAAAAGAUAACUAAAGUAUAGAUCUUGGGGUAUAGUUUUUUUUCCCUCUCAAAUUCGUCCGCUCGGAAGCAUCUGCUUCCGUGAAGCGAUUCGCGCGAAACGAAAGCAAUUCUCAGCGUUAACGGGGUGCGGUCGGCUAGCAUAAAGACUUUUUGCAAUGAAUUCUUGACUUUCCUGCAAGUCUCAGUCUUCUAUCAUCGUCCUCAGAAUUUAUUCGCAAAUCAUCAUGAUUGCAGCAAUGGCUAUGUAUAUAUAUAUGUAUAUAUGAUUGUAAAGAAUACUCCUCGUAUCACAUAUUUUCACU